GGGUUGUGAGGUUAAGCGACUAAGCGUACACGGUGGAUGCCCUGGCAGUCAGAGGCGAUGAAGGGCGUGCUAAUCUGCGAUAAGCGCCGGUAAGGUGAUAUGAACCGUUAUAACCGGCGAUACCCGAAUGGGGAAACCCAGUGUGAUUCGUCACACUAUCAUUAACUGAAUCCAUAGGUUAAUGAGGCGAACCGGGGGAACUGAAACAUCUAAGUACCCCGAGGAAAAGAAAUCAACCGAGAUUCCCCCAGUAGCGGCGAGCGAACGGGGAGGAGCCCAGAGCCUGAAUCAGCAUGUGUGUUAGUGGAAGCGUCUGGAAAGGCGCGCGAUACAGGGUGACAGCCCCGUACACAAAAGCGCAUGUGCUGUGAGCUCGAUGAGUAGGGCGGGACACGUGGUAUCCUGUCUGAAUAUGGGGGGACCAUCCUCCAAGGCUAAAUACUCCUGACUGACCGAUAGUGAACCAGUACCGUGAGGGAAAGGCGAAAAGAACCCCGGCGAGGGGAGUGAAAAAGAACCUGAAACCGUGUACGUACAAGCAGUGGGAGCACCCUUUGGGGUGUGACUGCGUACCUUUUGUAUAAUGGGUCAGCGACUUAUAUUCUGUAGCAAGGUUAACCGUAUAGGGGAGCCGCAGGGAAACCGAGUCUUAAUUGGGCGUUAAGUUGCAGGGUAUAGACCCGAAACCCGGUGAUCUAGCCAUGGGCAGGUUGAAGGUUGGGUAACACUAACUGGAGGACCGAACCGACUAAUGUUGAAAAAUUAGCGGAUGACCUGUGGCUGGGGGUGAAAGGCCAAUCAAACCGGGAGAUAGCUGGUUCUCCCCGAAAGCUAUUUAGGUAGCGCCUCGUGAAUUCAUCUCCGGGGGUAGAGCACUGUUUCGGCUAGGGGGCCAUCCCGGCUUACCAACCCGAUGCAAACUGCGAAUACCGGAGAAUGUUAUCACGGGAGACACACGGCGGGUGCUAACGUCCGUCGUGAAGAGGGAAACAACCCAGACCGCCAGCUAAGGUCCCAAAGUCAUGGUUAAGUGGGAAACGAUGUGGGAAGGCCCAGACAGCCAGGAUGUUGGCUUAGAAGCAGCCAUCAUUUAAAGAAAGCGUAAUAGCUCACUGGUCGAGUCGGCCUGCGCGGAAGAUGUAACGGGGCUAAACCAUGCACCGAAGCUGCGGCAGCGAACGUAUCACUUAAAGCGAUUCAGCGGGUUACGAUUGACGGAGCGAAGCGACGUCAAAGCGUAUACAAAGUCGAGUCGGUUUAAGGAUACGUUCG
Molecule: ribosomal RNA, 1272 nt
Filed under: Salmonella enterica subsp. enterica serovar Mississippi
Lineage: Bacteria; Pseudomonadati; Pseudomonadota; Gammaproteobacteria; Enterobacterales; Enterobacteriaceae
Description: partial 23S ribosomal RNA
Rfam family: Bacterial large subunit ribosomal RNA
Source: RNAcentral